Transfer RNA from Camelus ferus (Wild Bactrian camel), 73 nucleotides. It matches the Rfam family "tRNA". From Rfam's summary of the family: Transfer RNA (tRNA) molecules are approximately 80 nucleotides in length. NCBI's taxonomy places the organism in Eukaryota, Metazoa, Chordata, Mammalia, Artiodactyla, Camelidae. The record is from Rfam.
GAGGGUAUAGCUCAAGUGGUAGAGUGCAGGCCUAGCAUGCAUGAGGUCCUGGGUUCAAUCCCCACUACUUCCU